RNAcentral lists this long non-coding RNA (1611 nucleotides) under Pan paniscus (pygmy chimpanzee). Its description in RNAcentral is "lncRNA (ENSPPAG00000045110.1)". Lineage: Eukaryota; Metazoa; Chordata; Mammalia; Primates; Hominidae. The record is from RNAcentral.
UUGAUGGAGGAGGAGGACGCAGCCCGUCCCCUGGGUAGUUGAUGGAGGAGGGCGCAGUACGGUUGCUGAUCCCGUUAACUGUUUCAGGGGGUGUUUUAACGUCACGGAAUGAGAUCAAAUGUCCACCUCGCAGGUUGUGUAGAGAUGCAAGCAGGAGACUCUUGAGUGAGUGUUCUGGGGCCUGCGGAUAUACUGGGUGAGGGGAGUGCUGGUGCUGAGUUGGGCCAAGAGCCCGUGGGCGUGGGCUGUGCACCGGGUGAGGGGCUGAGGCGUGUCCGCAGCAGUACCUGGUGGUCGACCCCUUCUCCUGGCUGUGUGGUUGCCUGCCCUGCCUCUGCCUCUCAGAAUGUGAGUCUUCCGGGCUCCAGGGACAGGGUUGCCUGUGGACGGCACCUGUGCCUCUCCACGUCUGAGCUCUCAGGCGUCUGGGGUGCGCGGCUGCCCUUUUCCCCAGGUCCGUGCCAGGUGUGGUGGGGUCAGUGGUGUGGCUCAUGGGAAUCGGGAGUGGAUCCUCGCUGGGCUCUCAGGCGCCUCGGGCACGUAGCUGCCCUUGUCCCCAGGCCCCUGCUCGGUGUGGUGGGGGCUCAGUGGCGCAGAGCAGCCACCCAGAGUGGGGUCCGUGGCAGCAUGGUGUGGCCUCCUGGGUGGAGGUGGCCCCUGCAGUGGAGUACGUGUGUGGUCCCCCGCAGGGAUUGCAGUGUGUCCUCUCCCAGCUGGGAUCAGGUGGCCUCAGCACCGUCGGCCCUAGAGAGGCCCCGUGUAUUGUCCGGGUGAAGAAGGCGUUCGAUGCUCCCAGGUUCUAACUGAGCGCUGUCUGUCGACUCUUCAGGUUCAGACGCGGAAAGAAGAGCCUCUGCCCCCGGCUACGAGCCAAAGCAUUCCGACCUUCUACUUCCCCAGAGGACGCCCGCAGGACUCCGUCAACGUGGAUGCCGUCAUCAGCAAGAUCGAGAGCACCUUCGCCCGGUUCCCCCACGAGAGGGCCACCAUGGACGACAUGGGCCUGGUGGCCAAGGUUCAGACGCGGAAAGAAGAGCCUCUGCCCCCGGCCACGAGCCAAAGCAUUCCGACCUUCUACUUCCCCAGAGGACACCCGCAGGACUCCAUCAACGUGGAUGCCGUCAUCAGCAAGAUCGAGAGCACCUUCGCCCGGUUCCCCCACGAGAGGGCCACCAUGGACGACAUGGGCCUGGUGCACAAGGCCUGCGGCUGCCCCCUCUACUGGAAGGGGCCGCUCUUCUAUGGCGCCGGCGGGGAGCGCACGGGCUCCGUGUCCGUCCACAAGUUCGUCGCCAUGUGGAGAAAGUGAGUCCUGGGCUGGGCAGGGGGCUGUGUCGGGAGGGCGGAGGCGUCCCCGGGUCCCCGUGGUGCCAGGACGGGUGCCCCCUGAGGCUGCCGCAGUGAGAGGAGAAACCCUUGUACGGGCACAGGCCUGGCCGUCGUGUGUGGCCACCUGUCACGCACCACGUGGAACACCACACACGUGUUCCACCCUGCGUCUGCGGGGUCGAAAGCCACCCCCCGUGAGGGUGGCGCCCAGUCAUCCUGUCCUUCCAGAAUCCUCCAGAACUGCCACGACGACGCGGCCAAGUUCGUCCAUCUGCUCAUGAG